UCGUAACGAGCGCAACCCUUGUCCUUAGUUACCAGCACGUUAUGGUGGGCACUCUAAGGAGACUGCCGGUGACAAACCGGAGGAAGGUGGGGAUGACGUCAAGUCAUCAUGGCCCUUACGGCCUGGGCUACACACGUGCUACAAUGGUCGGUACAAAGGGUUGCCAAGCCGCGAGGUGGAGCUAAUCCCAUAAAACCGAUCGUAGUCCGGAUCGCAGUCUGCAACUCGACUGCGUGAAGUCGGAAUCGCUAGUAAUCGUGAAUCAGAAUGUCACGGUGAAUACGUUCCCGGGCCUU
Molecule: ribosomal RNA, 296 nt
Filed under: uncultured Pseudomonas sp.
Lineage: Bacteria; Pseudomonadati; Pseudomonadota; Gammaproteobacteria; Pseudomonadales; Pseudomonadaceae
Description: partial 16S ribosomal RNA
Rfam family: Bacterial small subunit ribosomal RNA
Source: RNAcentral